AAUAUAAAAUAGUCACACAUGCAGAGGCCCCUAGAAAGUUCUCCAAUUCUUAGGUGACUGAUGGGCCUUCAGACAUGCCCAGAGUAAGAAGAGUACUUUCUGUGUGUCUGUGAUGGAGUGGCGGGGUGGGCUUAGAUACUCCCAGGAAGCUUGGUCUGGGUGUCUCUAGAGAUAGGAGACAUAAUUAUGUACUACAGGCUUUGGGGUUUGGAUCCCAGGAGGCCACCUGAAUCAUCCUUAUUUCAACUGCAACAGGAAGUUGCAUCUGUAUUCAUCUUAACGUGAU
This 286-nucleotide long non-coding RNA is filed under the name Bos taurus (domestic cattle). RNAcentral describes it as "long non-coding RNA NONBTAT026733". Lineage: Eukaryota; Metazoa; Chordata; Mammalia; Artiodactyla; Bovidae. The record is from RNAcentral.